RNAcentral lists this ribosomal RNA (910 nucleotides) under uncultured bacterium. RNAcentral describes it as "bacterial SSU rRNA". It matches the Rfam family "Bacterial small subunit ribosomal RNA", at positions 8 to 968 of the family's 1533-position model. The record is from RNAcentral.
AGAGGUUGAUCCUGGCUCGAACGAACGCUGGCGGCAUGCCUAACACAUGCAAGUCGAACGAGACCUUCGGGUCUAGUGGCGCACGGGUGCGUAACGCGUGGGAAUCUACCCUUGGGUUCGGAAUAACAGUUAGAAAUGACUGCUAAUACCGGAUGAUGUCGUAAGACCAAAGAUUUAUCGCCCAAGGAUGAGCCCGCGUAAGAUUAGCUAGUUGGUGGGGUAAAGGCCUACCAAGGCUACGAUCUUUAGCUGGUCUGAGAGGAUGAUCAGCCACACUGGGACUGAGACACGGCCCAGACUCCUACGGGAGGCAGCAGUGGGGAAUAUUGGACAAUGGGCGAAAGCCUGAUCCAGCAAUGCCGCGUGAGUGAUGAAGGCCUUAGGGUUGUAAAGCUCUUUUACCCGGGAUGAUAAUGACAGUACCGGGAGAAUAAGCCCCGGCUAACUCCGUGCCAGCAGCCGCGGUAAUACGGAGGGGGCUAGCGUUGUUCGGAAUUACUGGGCGUAAAGCGUGCGUAGGCGGUAAUUCAAGUCAGAGGUGAAAGCCUGGUGCUCAACAUCAGAACUGCCUUUGAAACUAGAUUGCUAGAAUUGCGGAGAGGUGAGUGGAAUUCCGAGUGUAGAGGUGAAAUUCUUAGAUAUUCGGAAGAACACCAGUGGCGAAGGCGGCUCACUGGACGCAUAUUGACGCUGAGGUACGAAAGCGUGCGGAGCAAACAGGAUUAGAUACCCUGGUAGUCCACGCUGUAAACGAUGAUAACUAGUUGUCAGGUUCAUAGAACUUUGGUGACGCAGCUAACGCAUUAACUUAUCCGCCUGGGGAGUACGGUCGCAGAUUAAAACUACACGAAUUGACGGGGGCCUGCACAGCAGCGGAGGCAUGUGGUUGAAUUCGUAGCAUCACGCAGAA